GAUGAGCGCUGGCGGCGUGCCUAAUACAUGCAAGUCGAGCGAACGGACGAGAAGCUUGCUUCUCUGAUGUUAGCGGCGGACGGGUGAGUAACACGUGGAUAACCUACCUAUAAGACUGGGAUAACUUCGGGAAACCGGAGCUAAUACCGGAUGAUAUUUUGAACCGCAUGGUUCAAAAGUGAAAGACGGUCUUGCUGUCACUUAUAGAUGGAUCCGCGCUGCAUUAGCUAGUUGGUAAGGUAACGGCUUACCAAGGCAACGAUGCAUAGCCGACCUGAGAGGGUGAUCGGCCACACUGGAACUGAGACACGGUCCAGACUCCUACGGGAGGCAGCAGUAGGGAAUCUUCCGCAAUGGGCGAAAGCCUGACGGUGCAACGCCGCGUGAGUGAUGAAGGUCUUCGGAUCGUAAAACUCUGUUAUUAGGGAAGAACAUAUGUGUAAGUAACUGUGCACAUCUUGACGGUACCUAAUCAGAAAGCCACGGCUAACUACGUG
This 497-nucleotide ribosomal RNA is filed under the name uncultured bacterium. Its description in RNAcentral is "partial 16S ribosomal RNA". It matches the Rfam family "Bacterial small subunit ribosomal RNA", at positions 28 to 507 of the family's 1533-position model. The record is from RNAcentral.